AAGGAGUGCCCGAAUGCGGAGUGUGGUGCGGGGACGUUCAUGGCGAACCACUUUGAUAGGCAUUACUGUGGGAAGUGUGGGCUGACGUAUGUGUACCAGAAGGCCGAAGGUGAGUAAGCUGGUUUGCUCGUUUUGUUGGUUUAGUUUCUGAAAGAACAUUGUUGUGUUGGCAUUCAGUUUCAAGUCUGAUGUUUUAGUUGAGAUGUUGAUGAAUACCUGUUAAUCAGGUUAUUCACCUGUUUGAAUUUUUUCUGGUCUUUUGUUGUCAUGAA
RNAcentral lists this unclassified non-coding RNA (272 nucleotides) under Hevea brasiliensis (rubber tree). Lineage: Eukaryota; Viridiplantae; Streptophyta; Magnoliopsida; Malpighiales; Euphorbiaceae. The record is from RNAcentral.